AGGACGAACGCUGGCGGCGUGCUUAGCACAUGCAAGUCGAGCGGUAAGGCCUUUCGGGGUACACGAGCGGCGAACGGGUGAGUAACACGUGGGUGAUCUGCCCUGCACUCUGGGAUAAGCCGUGGGAAACUGGGUCUAAUACCGGAUAUGACCUGCUCUCGCAGUGGGGGUGGGUGGAAAGAUUUAUCGGGUAGCAGGGAUGGGCCCGCGGCCUAUCAGCUUGGUUGGUGGGGUAAUGGCCUACCAAGGCGACGACGGGUAGCCGACCUGAGGAGGGUGACCGGCCACACGUGGGACUGACGACGACGGCCCAGACCGUACCGUACGGGAGGACCGAGGCAGGUAGGGAAUAUU
This 354-nucleotide ribosomal RNA is filed under the name uncultured soil bacterium. RNAcentral describes it as "bacterial SSU rRNA". It matches the Rfam family "Bacterial small subunit ribosomal RNA", at positions 26 to 365 of the family's 1533-position model. The record is from RNAcentral.